UACGUAGGGACCGAGCGUUGUCCGGAAUUAUUGGGCGUAAAGAGCGUGUAGGCGGCUUGCUAAGUCUUGCGUGAAAUCUCGGGGCUCAACCCCGAGCGGUCGUGGGAAACUGGCAGGCUAGAGUGCGGGAGAGGAGAAUGGAAUUCCUGGUGUAGCGGUGAAAUGCGUAGAUAUCGGAAGGAACACCAGUGGCGAAGGCGGCUUCCUGGACUAGUACUGACGCUGAGGUGCGAAAGCGUGGGGAGCAAACAGG
Molecule: ribosomal RNA, 253 nt
Filed under: uncultured bacterium
Lineage: Bacteria
Description: partial 16S ribosomal RNA
Rfam family: Bacterial small subunit ribosomal RNA
Source: RNAcentral